Molecule: long non-coding RNA, 1377 nt
Organism: Carassius carassius (crucian carp)
Lineage: Eukaryota; Metazoa; Chordata; Actinopteri; Cypriniformes; Cyprinidae
Exons: 2
Source: RefSeq, a predicted model, not a curated record
GCCAUCUGGGGGCUUUAGUGGAAAAUGGGCGAACCUUGACUGAACAACAUAUGGGUUUGUGAUCAGACCAGGUCACCGGAAUGUAAUGCGCAUUUUGAAUAUUUUGAAAUAAAUCUUUUGAGGCAAAGAUAAAAUCUAGUCUCGAAAAGGAUUUAUGUCUCCCUGAGUAAAAAGAAUAGUCUUUUAAAGAAGGGUUUAACAAACGCCAGAUAUCGACCAUGCCCGUUUCGGAUGCCCAGUGGCGCAACGCCUCAGAUGCAAGAUGUUGGUCUUUAGUCUCGCUGCCGCCUGUUCUGUCCAUGCUGCUGUCCCACACCGCAUUGAAAUCAGCCCCAAGAACUAAGUGAAAUCCUGUAAGAUCAAGCAAGGAUUUAGUUAAUAGAUGGAAAAAGGUACGAUCAAAUACAUUAGGGGCAUAAGCAGAAAUAAGUGCAAUGUUUUUCCCAUCCAUACAGAUCCUUGCUAUAGCUAUCCGCCCUGCAUCAUCUGCCCAAGAGUCAAUCAUAUCAAAUUUUAGUUUACGUUUACACAAUACCAUUACCCCUUUAGAUUUUGUUGCUGCAGAUGAAGUUGCAAUAGAAUGAUAAAACUUAUUGGCUAAUCGACCCACAUCUUUGCCCAAUAAAUGUGAUUCCUGAAUCAUAGCAAAGUCUAUAUUUUUCUUACGAAAAAAUUCUAGUACAGUGGUUCUUUUGUGCGGAACGUUCAGACCCCUGGCGUUGACUGAAAUAAGGUUAAGAGCUGUCAUAUGCUAGAAGGCUUUGUGAAAAACAAAGAAAGAGGAAAAAAAAAAAAAAAGAAAGAGUUGUCCCAACAACAGCACGAGAGAGAACCGGAUCCAUAAAAGAGAAACACCCAAAAAAAAGAAAAAAAAAAAAAAAAAAAAAAAAAAAAAAAAAAAAAAAAAAAAAAAAAACCGAAGAGGAAGGUGAGGAAGCUGAAACUGUCGAACCUUCCUGAAAAUCCACAACUGGAUAACUAACUCAGAGAACUUUCUGACCACUCAAGUGCGGCAGCAGCGCCACCCAUCAGCAAACAACUGAACAGCAGUAGUGUGAACACAUUAAAGACAUCCGCCAUCUAACAGCGGUGCUAUAUCGUUAACAGACACGAAAUCUACAGACCCCCUACCCAACAUAACCUGCACACAUGACUUAUAACUCGGGCAGACAAAGAAGGAGAGAGAGGGGAAAAAAAAAAAAAAAAAAAAAAAAAAAAAAAAAAAAAAAAAAAAAAAAAAAAAAAAAAAAAUACUUCUUAAAGUUUCAAAAAAAAAAAAAAAAAAAAAAAAAAAAAAAAAAAAAAAAAAAAAAAAAAAAAAAAAAAAUAUAUGUAGGCCUAUAUGUAACAAAUAAAAAUAAAAUAAAAAAUAAAGAA